GAUGAACGCUAGCUACAGGCUUAACACAUGCAAGUCGCGGGGCAGCAUGGGGGUUGCUUGCAAUCCCCGAUGGCGACCGGCGCACGGGUGAGUAACGCGUAUCCAACCUGCCCUUCACCACGGGAUAACCCGGCGAAAGUCGGACUAAUACCGUAUGUUGUGCAUUGACGGCAUCCGAUUUGGACGAAAGGUUUGGCGGGGAAGGAUGGGGAUGCGUCCGAUUAGCUGGACGGCGGGGUGACGGCCCACCGUGGCGACGAUCGGUAGGGGUUCUGAGAGGAAGGUCCCCCACACUGGAACUGAGACACGGUCCAGACUCCUACGGGAGGCAGCAGUGAGGAAUAUUGGUCAAUGGGCGUAAGCCUGAACCAGCCAAGUAGCGUGCAGGAUGACGGCCCUGUGGGUUGUAAACUGCUUUUAUGCGGGGAUAAAGUGGCCCACGUGUGGGUUUUUGCAGGUACCGCAUGAAUAAGGACCGGCUAAUUCCGUG
This 490-nucleotide ribosomal RNA is filed under the name uncultured bacterium. RNAcentral describes it as "partial 16S ribosomal RNA". It matches the Rfam family "Bacterial small subunit ribosomal RNA", at positions 28 to 507 of the family's 1533-position model. The record is from RNAcentral.